Schistosoma mansoni is the source of this 43-nucleotide non-coding RNA. The record is from Rfam. Lineage: Eukaryota; Metazoa; Platyhelminthes; Trematoda; Strigeidida; Schistosomatidae.
CUGCUGAGGAGUCCCACAAUAGGACGAAACGACCGUCAAACAG